RNAcentral lists this ribosomal RNA (402 nucleotides) under uncultured Alphaproteobacteria bacterium. RNAcentral's name for it is "partial 16S ribosomal RNA". It matches the Rfam family "Bacterial small subunit ribosomal RNA", at positions 355 to 774 of the family's 1533-position model. Lineage: Bacteria; Pseudomonadati; Pseudomonadota; Alphaproteobacteria. The record is from RNAcentral.
UGAGGAAUAUUGGACAAUGGGGGAAACCCUGAUCCAGCCAUGCCGCGUGAGUGAUGAAGGCCUUAGGGUUGUAAAGCUCUUUUAGAUGGGAAGAUAAUGACUGUACCAUCAGAAUAAGCCCCGGCUAAAUUCGUGCCAGCAGCCGCGGUAAUACGAAUGGGGCAAGCGUUGUUCGGAAUCACUGGGCGUAAAGCGUAUGUAGGCGGUUUAGCAAGUCAGAAGUGAAAUCCCAGGGCUCAACCUUGGAAUUGCUUUUGAAACUGCUAAGCUGGAGUCCCGGAGAGGUUAGCAGAAUUCCGAGUGUAGAGGUGAAAUUCGCAGAUAUUCGGAGGAAUACCAGUGGCGUAAGCGGCUAACUGGACGGGCACUGACGCUGAGAUACGAAAGCGUGGGGAUCAAACA